This 486-nucleotide ribosomal RNA is filed under the name uncultured bacterium. RNAcentral describes it as "partial 16S ribosomal RNA". It matches the Rfam family "Bacterial small subunit ribosomal RNA", at positions 29 to 507 of the family's 1533-position model. The record is from RNAcentral.
AUUGAACGCUGGCGGCAUGCCUUACACAUGCAAGUCGAACGGCAGCACGGGUGAUUGCACCUGGUGGCGAGUGGCGGACGGGUGAGUAAUACAUCGGAACAUGUCCUGUAGUGGGGGAUAGCCCGGCGAAAGCCGGAUUAAUACCGCAUACGAUCUACGGAUGAAAGCGGGGGACCUUCGGGCCUCGCGCUUUAGGGGUGGCCGAUGGCUGAUUAGCUAGUUGGUGGGGUAAAGGCCUACCAAGGCGACGAUCAGUAGCUGGUCUGAGAGGACGACCAGCCACACUGGGACUGAGACACGGCCCAGACUCCUACGGGAGGCAGCAGUGGGGAAUUUUGGACAAUGGGCGAAGGCCUGAUCCAGCAAUGCCGCGUGUGUGAAGAAGGCCUUCGGGUUGUAAAGCACUUUUGUCCGGAAAGAAAUCCUUGGCCCUAAUACGGGCGGGGGAUGACGGUACCGGAAGAAUAAGCACCGGCUAACUACGUG